This 867-nucleotide long non-coding RNA is filed under the name Cimex lectularius (bed bug). RNAcentral describes it as "uncharacterized LOC112127649, transcript variant X1". The record is from RNAcentral. Lineage: Eukaryota; Metazoa; Arthropoda; Insecta; Hemiptera; Cimicidae.
CAUGUUCGUUAUCUUCCAACCUGAUGGUGAGCUUUAAGCUUGAUAUCCGGAUAAUUGAAAACAAUAAACUGGUCUGAGCUCCCUGCACUUCAUACAGGAAGGAAUUGGGGUCCAUUGUUAAAAAUGCUCGUACACGUGCUAAUGUUUUUCGAGCAAGUACCACCAAAAAAGUUUCUUCAGUAAAAUCUGUCAAGUUAACCACGUGUUGGCGCUGAACUACUCAUGAUCUCAUGACUAAACACACCAGGACCGUGGUUGGUGACCAACUUCGCUUUGACCGUGCUGACGAGAUUUAUAUAUAGACAGGGUUUUUCUGCAAGUUACAGGCAAGGGAAAGACACUCGCGACCUCCUAGAAACGAUCAACGUAGAAGUAUUCGUGUACGAGAAAACCUUCCGGAUGCGGAUAUCACUCGCCAAACAGGAACAUCUUUCUCAGGGUGUGAAGGAACUAUCUAUUACGGAUGGCACAACAGGGAUAGUCAGGAUCAGGACAUACCAAGUUUUUGGUGAUUCUUGUUGAAGCCUGAAUAAAGAGAGAUGGAUUCCAGGUCGUUUCGAGAAGCUUUCAGAAGAUAUUGCGAUGUAAUUCCAAUGUAUGGUGCUGGACAUUUCAUACAAUUAAGUUUAUAAAUUACAUUGGAUUUGUAGGCUGUCUUCGACAUUGGAAAAACGUUUGUGCGGUGUUUUGUGGUUUUUAAAGGCUAUUUUAAUGUCUUCUGAGGAGAGAAAUUACUUAAUUUGUGUUUCAUUGUGUGGACGACGUGAAUAUUGUUUGUCUUUAAGUGAUUGGGAUUAUUCACGUUUCACAACAAUUUCACACAACACCAAUAUGACACCACAAGAAUAGCACCACACUUUAUGUGAG